Siniperca chuatsi (mandarin fish) is the source of this 1986-nucleotide long non-coding RNA. RefSeq lists it as uncharacterized. The record is from RefSeq and is a predicted model, not a curated record. The transcript has 4 exons. Lineage: Eukaryota; Metazoa; Chordata; Actinopteri; Centrarchiformes; Sinipercidae.
UGCAGUGAUAUACAGUAGGCUUUACUUAGACAAGUCGACUCCUCUGUGCCAUUAGGCCUAACAGGGUCAGACUGUGGGAGAGCCAUAGUGUAGAAGUAAAAGAGAGGACUGCUAUCAAAUAAAUAGGAACAUCUGCCUCAGUGUGUGUCUACUGUAUGCUUGUGCAUGUGUUUUUACACGACUAACACACAUUUUUACCAGCCCUCGUUUGCUAUUGCUCUUUGAAACACACAUGCAACUCUAAAUAUCAGACAAAACUUUAUUCAACUUGAUUCCAUUUGAGUAGCUGUUCUCUAAUGUCUUUUUUUGCCAAGUGGAAUCCCUCAUAGAAGCGGCAUAUUUGUGUGUUAUGGAGGCAGACAGCUGAUAGUGUCCAUUUGUCAUGCUGUCAAGUUAAUUACCAGAUUCAAAAGGAGAAUGAGAUUACCCCCUCCCCUUCCAACGGACACUCACACCUCCACACUUGCAACACACACUCUCUCGCGCGCACACACCCACACACACACAGAAACAUACACACUUAAGUGUCACAAGGUUAUUUUCAGUGUGCAUUGGAACAACUUACUGGAGUAGAGUGGACAACAUCAGAAGUUUAGCACAAUUGCACAAGGUCAGGCCAAUGUCUUUAGCUGUGAGUGUGUGUCUGUGUGUAUGUUACAGUGACUGAAGCCGCAGGUUACCUUUUACAUAUUUUACUUUACUUCCAUCACAGCAAAAAAGGAAAUCUUUUGGCUCUUUUUGAAGGUCUUGUUAAAAAUGUUCUUUGCUUUUUUCCUGCUCUCCUGCCCACUGAGAAACUAGCUCUUUGCCACAAGUGAAAAGUAAUUCUUAUGUACUUUAACUGUGUUCUGUGCAAAGAAGUUUGUGUCCAUACUUGUGUAAUCAAAGAGGACACUUUGAAAAAGCGGACAGAUCAUUAGCGCAUAAUGAGCUGAAGUACUUUGGGCAGUGAGGAGGAUUUCCUCAAUAAGCGAUGGCUUAAGGAGAUGGAUACAAGAGGGUGGAAAUCAGAUUCUCUCCGCUGCAGACAACCUUUCUUCUCCCCAGCCAGGAGUUUUAUCCAGGAGCCCGAGGGUUUUAAAAAGUCAUGGACUGCUUAGUUUAGACGUGAUGAGGCUCUGUGACGGCACCCAGCUGGCCAAAGUUCUGCAAGGGUGGCCUUGGUGACAUCACAGCAAGUGGCGCGUGACAAACCGGCAGCACGCAAGUCGCGACCCACGAAAUAAUCUCCGACAGACGAGGACAAGGGCCAUCUUGGCUUGGACUCCCACCUGAUGCCCUUUUACCCCAUCCUCUGCCAUCACAAAAGGCAGGCUGGGCUUUCGGAAAGGUGUCAAAUGCACAGCGCGUAUCGCCAAAAGGAAAGUUGCUUCUUGUCAGGUGAUGACAAGUAAGUGACAGAUUCCACGCACAGCAGUGCAGAGCACACAGGCCCAACAGUGGCCCGGGACGCCGCCUUUGUUGAGGUGUCAGUUGCCGUCGCAGCAUCUCAGCAUGGUUCACCACUGGGCAUGACAGGGGAUGCAGACCCCAUGAAGGGGGAUUAGCACCACACCUAUUGUCUGAGAUGCUGGAUUUGGCUGCAUGGCUAUUCAACGACUGUAUUUCUAUUCUUUGGCACUUGACAGGGACGCUCAGUGGCCCCACUUUUGUUCCGCUGCAGUAUCAGAAUGUGUUCAUGUCAUGCCCCCAGCCUAGGCCCUUAUUAUCUCAGUUGACAUGACGAGGAAAGGUGCGAUGGUAGAUUCUGUUAUUGCUGUUUGCUGCCUGACCUGCAGGUUAGGGUGUUUUUUAAUGGGUUAGGUAGAAGCUUGCUUCUCAUGUAUAAUUUACUGUUGAUUCUGUUAAUGCUGAAAGGAGAGCAUGUUGACCGAGACUUAACCUAUGUGGGUUUGGUCGGAUUUGAUGUUAUGAAUACAAAAUUAAGGGAUUUUUUGGGUGUUUGUUGGUUUUGUUUUAUUUGCAUUCAUUUAUGAUUCAAAUCAA